GCCAUGGUAACUCAGCUUGGUUAGAGUGCCAGACUCAUACUCUGGAAGUCGUGGGUUCAAAACUCUUCAAAUGCG
This 75-nucleotide transfer RNA is filed under the name Microcaldota archaeon. Its description in RNAcentral is "Candidatus Micrarchaeota archaeon (hot springs metagenome) tRNA-Met". It matches the Rfam family "tRNA". From Rfam's summary of the family: Transfer RNA (tRNA) molecules are approximately 80 nucleotides in length. Their secondary structure includes four short double-helical elements and three loops (D, anti-codon, and T loops). Further hydrogen bonds mediate the characteristic L-shaped molecular structure. tRNAs have two regions of fundamental functional importance: the anti-codon, which is responsible for specific mRNA codon recognition, and the 3' end, to which the tRNAs corresponding amino acid is attached (by aminoacyl-tRNA synthetases). tRNAs cope with the degeneracy of the genetic code in two manners: having more than one tRNA (with a specific anti-codon) for a particular amino acid; and 'wobble' base-pairing, i.e. permitting non-standard base-pairing at the 3rd anti-codon position. The record is from RNAcentral. Lineage: Archaea; Nanobdellati; Microcaldota.